GGGAGCAGAAAUUUCAGUCUACCUGCCCACUGAAAAUUUUAAAUGGCCGCAGUAUAUUAACUGUGCAAAGGUAGCAUAAUCAUUAGUCUUUUAAUUGAAGGCUGGAAUGAAUGGUUGGACGAGAUAUUAACUGUUUCAAAAUAAUUUAAAUUAGAAUUUUAUUUUUUAGUAAAAAAGCUAAAAUUUUAUUAAAAGACGAGAAGACCCUAUAAAUCUUUAUAAUUUGUUUAUUUUAAUUGAAAAGAAUUAUUUUGUUAUAAUAAAUAAAAUUAUUUUAUUGGGGUGAUAUUAAAAUUUAAUAAACUUUUAAUUUAUUAAAUCAUUAAUUUAUGAAUUAUUGAUCCAAUUUUAUUGAUUAAAAAUUUAAGUUACUUUAGGGAUAACAGCGUAAUUUUUUUGGAGAGUUCAUAUCGAUAAAAAAGAUUGCGACCUCGAUGUUGGAUUAAGAGAUAUAUUUGGGAGUAGUCAUUCAAAUGUUAAGUCUGUUCGACUUUUAAAUUCUUACGUGAUCUGAGUUCAGACCGGA
Molecule: ribosomal RNA, 526 nt
Filed under: Meiosimyza decipiens
Lineage: Eukaryota; Metazoa; Arthropoda; Insecta; Diptera; Lauxaniidae
Description: Lyciella decipiens partial 16S ribosomal RNA
Rfam family: Bacterial large subunit ribosomal RNA
Source: RNAcentral